GUCACUUUCUCUCGAUGCAGGAGACCAGUUUUCUUCUCGGCUGUGAAAACACACUCACCUUUUCCACCUGUCGUGUUCUCGUUCUGACGUCCAGAGGCUAAGUGCUGAAUCAUUGCAGUGUGGCUCCGAUUCAAUCAACUGGUGGAAAUGGGUCCAGGGUCAGUGGUGUCUUCGUCCUGCCUUACGUGGGAGAUCUCGGAGCCUCCAAUCAUCCUGAUAACGACACGUGCGUGAAGUGCAUCCAGCCGCAGCUGGUUCUAGGACGACUUGGGGAACUAGACGUGCAGCUGGAUGAUCUGGGGAAUUUAAGAUGUGAAAGGUCCCAAGGUCAGCGAAGUCCCUGAUUGGUUCCACGUCAAUCUUACUGGGAGUGCGAGUGGCCAGAUGUCAUGGAUCAUAUUUGUUCCAACGAAAUAGCUGGGAAGAGGGAAGAUGUCCUGAACAGAGAAUAUGGAGAGCAGGGCAGGAAGUUGAAAUCCCUGGAUCGCUGUGUUUUCCACUCGCCACUGAAGGCAAGAAUAGGAUGUCUUGACAGGUGAAUGUGUGGCUGAGGAAUUCGUUGAGUGGACAAGGUUUCAGAAUUCUGGAUCUUUGGGAGACUCGCUAGGAAAUGUGUCACUUGUGAAAAGAGGGAGUGGGUACGCUUGGAUUUCAGAGGGCCAACAUUCUUACAGGCAGGGUUUUCAGAGCAGCUGG
This is a long non-coding RNA of Mobula hypostoma (lesser devil ray), 696 nucleotides long. RefSeq lists it as uncharacterized. The transcript is spliced from 3 exons. The record is from RefSeq and is a predicted model, not a curated record. NCBI's taxonomy places the organism in Eukaryota, Metazoa, Chordata, Chondrichthyes, Myliobatiformes, Myliobatidae.